Molecule: long non-coding RNA, 410 nt
Filed under: Carassius auratus (goldfish)
Lineage: Eukaryota; Metazoa; Chordata; Actinopteri; Cypriniformes; Cyprinidae
Description: lncRNA (ENSCARG00000054470.1)
Source: RNAcentral
AUGGAUCCGAAUACCAGAGAAAACGACUGUUUUGACUUCUGUGGAUUCAUUAAAGAAGCUUCAGCAAAGUUCAACUUGCCGCAUGGAGCCAAUGUGGUUCUUAAAGACUCUGCAGGAGUUGAUGUUGAUGCUGAUAUUUUUGAUGAGCUUGUGAGAACAUCUAAGGUGUCCUUCAAAAUUUUGGAUGGUGAUAACAAUAAAUCGGGUAAGAAACUCAUGACCUGCUGCCAUGUUCAUAAAUGAAUCAUCUAGUUUGUAUUCCCAAACAUAUUUUUUCACAAUACAUGAUGAUCGCAUCUGUCUUUUUGGUGUUCAUAUUGUCUUGUGUCCUGUAUGUGAUUCUAAGAUAAUGUUCCACAAGCUGAGACCAAUCUCUCUGAGCCCUCAUGCCCUGAGUCAUCGUUUUCAUC